GGGGGAAAAAUUAAUAAAAUAUAAAUAAUAAAAAAAUUUUUAAGAAUAUUUUAAUGGGGGUUAAAGUAUAUCUAUAGAAAAAAUUAAAAAAUUUAUAGUGAAAUAGUAUUGUAAAAGAAUUUUGAAAUAAAAAUGGAAAUUUAUUUUUAAGUAAAUUUAAUUUAUUGUAUCUUGUGUAUCAGAGUUUAUUAAUAAUAUUUUUUAGGUAAAAAUUUCUCGAAUUUAAAAGAGUUAAUUAAUUAAUAAAGUUAAUGUAAUAUAAUUAUUUUUAAUAAUUAAUUAGAAAUGAAAUGUUAAUCGUUUUUAAAAAUAUCUAGUUUUUUUAGAAAAAAAUUUAAUUUUAAAUAUUAAAUUUAAAAUUUUUAAUAAAAAAAAUUUUAUUUAUUAAUAUUAAAUAUUUUAAGGGAUAAGCUUUAAAAUAAAUUUUUAUAAUUUAUUUUAAAAUAGUUAAAAUUUUAAGAUUUAAAUUUUCAAAUAAAUUAUAGUUUUUUAUAAAUAAUUUAAUUAAAUUUAAAAUUUUAAAAAAAAAUUUAAAUUUUUAUAAAAAAAUAUAUUUUAAUAGGAUAAAAUUAGAUAUAAUGAUAAAAUUAGUAUAUAAAAAUUAAUUAAAUUAAAAAUUUAUGAAAAAUUAAUUAAAGGAAUUCGGCAAAAAAUAUAUUCACUUGUUUAUCAAAAACAUGUCUUUUUGAUAAUAAUUUAAAGUCUAAUCUGCCCACUGAUAAUUUAUUAAAGGGCUGCAGUAUUUUGACUGUACAAAGGUAGCAUAAUCAUUAGUCUCUUAAUUGGUGACUUGUAUGAAAGAUUGGAUGAAAUAUAAUCUGUCUCUAAUUAAUAUAUAGAAUUUAAUUUUUUAGUUAGAAAGCUAAAAUAGAUUUAAAAGACGAGAAGACCCUAUAGAGUUUUAUAUUUUAUUUAAUUAUUAUUUAUAUGUAAAUUUUAUAUUUAAGAUAAAAUAAAAUAUUUUGUUGGGGUGAUAGAAAAAUUAAAUUAACUUUUUUUAAUGUUAAACAUUGAUAUAUGAGUUUUUGAUCCAUUUAUAGUGAUUAAAAGAAAAAAUUACCUUAGGGAUAACAGCGUAAUUUUUUUUUUUAGUUCAAAUAGGAAAAAAAGUUUGCGACCUCGAUGUUGGAUUAAGAUAAAAUUUAAAUGCAAAAGUUUAAAAUUUUGAUCUGUUCGAUCAUUAAAAUCUUACAUGAUCUGAGUUCAAACCGGUGUAAGCCAGGUUGGUUUCUAUCUUUAAAUAUUAAUAAUAUUUUAGUACGAAAGGAUCAAAUAUUAAAAAUAAUUUUAUUUAUAUGAAUAUUAUUAAUUGUUAUUUU
RNAcentral lists this ribosomal RNA (1319 nucleotides) under Papilio glaucus (eastern tiger swallowtail). RNAcentral's name for it is "16S ribosomal RNA". The stretch from base 1067 to 1225 matches the Rfam family "Archaeal large subunit ribosomal RNA", at positions 2544 to 2703 of the family's 2987-position model. Lineage: Eukaryota; Metazoa; Arthropoda; Insecta; Lepidoptera; Papilionidae. The record is from RNAcentral.